Molecule: small RNA, 840 nt
Filed under: Pongo abelii (Sumatran orangutan)
Lineage: Eukaryota; Metazoa; Chordata; Mammalia; Primates; Hominidae
Description: retained intron
Source: RNAcentral
GCCCCACAAGCCAUCCCAGCUCUUGCCCUACUGUUUUUUUGUUUUGUUUUGUUUUGUUUUGUUUUGUUUUGAGCCAGAGUCUCUCUCUGUCCCCCAAGCUGGAGUGCAGUGGCAUGAUCUCGGCUCACUGCAACCUCCACCUCCCAGGUUCAAGCAAUUCUCCUGCCUCAGCCUCCUGAGUAGCUGGGAUUACAGGCAUGUGUCACCACGCCCAGCUAAUUUUUGUACUUUUGGUAGAGAUGGGGUUUUACCAUGCUGGCCAGGCUGGUCUCAAACUCCUGACCUCAGGUGAUCCACCCGCCUUAGCCUCCCAAAGUGCUAGGAUUACAGGCACGAGCCACUGUGCCUGGCCUCUUGUCCCAUUCUUUAGCUUGGCAUCACCCUGGCUGAGAUGUGGCCAGCACACAGGUGACUGUCUUCCUCCGAUUCUAACUCCUGGACACUGACACUGUCUAAAUCCCAGAUUUGCACAGCUCAAGACUGGCUGGAUGGGGCUCUCACUCCCUACUCCAAAAAGGUAGAAAAUAGGAGACCCCUGUGGACGUGGGACCCACCCCCCACCCUUGUGCUUGUAGGAGUCUCAACAGGCAGAUGCGUAGCUUUCAACCGGUCCGUCAAGACGUGUGAGGUGGCAGCCUGGUGCCCGGUGGAGGAUGACAAACACGUGCCACAACCUGCUUUUUUAAAGGCUGCAGAAAACUUCACUCUUUUGGUUAAGAACAACAUCUGGUACCCCAAAUUUAAUUUCAGCAAGAGGAAUAUCCUUCCCAACAUCACCACUACUUACCUCAAGUCCUGCAUUUAUGAUGCUAAAACAGAUCCCUUCUGCCCCAUAUUCCG